Erigeron canadensis is the source of this 477-nucleotide long non-coding RNA. RefSeq lists it as uncharacterized. The record is from RefSeq and is a predicted model, not a curated record. The transcript is spliced from 3 exons. Lineage: Eukaryota; Viridiplantae; Streptophyta; Magnoliopsida; Asterales; Asteraceae.
UCUCCUAAAAUCUCCCUUUCUCAUUUACGUGCUACCCCCUCCCAGAAACUUUUGCCCUCAUUCCUGAUCGCUUACAAAGUGCCAUAUCCAUCUCCAGGUAUCGAAUUUACAAUACGAGAUCUGCUAGCACAAUGAUAUAUCGCACAUAUGUGCAAUUAUUUACUUCGGAAUUCGGAUAGUUUGUAAUUUGGUCGAAAUUCAAAAAUGAAGUUAUGUAGACGUAGCACUUCAAAAGGCUGUUUGGCAAGGAGACAAGUCGAGCAAAGUUGUGACGAUUCAAGCAUCUACAAAUUAUCCAACUCGUCGGCCGGAAUUCUAACAUAUAUUAUACAUAUAUAUAUUGUUAUAUGAUAGCAUUUGGAUCUUUACUAUAAUUUUUAUUAUGUGUUCUUGUGUAAACCUUGAUGUAUAAGAGAUAAUGAAUCAUGUAUUCAAGUCCAUUUUCCAGAAUAAUGAUAUGUGUCAAGAUUGAGUUUU